GUCGAACGAACUUCCGUUAAUUGAUUAUGACGUACUUGUACUGAUUGAGAUUUUAACACGAAGUGAGUGGCGAACGGGUGAGUAACACGUGGGUAACCUGCCCAGAAGUAGGGGAUAACACCUGGAAACAGAUGCUAAUACCGUAUAACAGAGAAAACCGCAUGGUUUUCUUUUAAAAGAUGGCUCUGCUAUCACUUCUGGAUGGACCCGCGGCGUAUUAGCUAGUUGGUGAGGUAAAGGCUCACCAAGGCAGUGAUACGUAGCCGACCUGAGAGGGUAAUCGGCCACAUUGGGACUGAGACACGGCCCAGACUCCUACGGGAGGCAGCAGUAGGGAAUCUUCCACAAUGGACGCAAGUCUGAUGGAGCAACGCCGCGUGAGUGAAGAAGGGUUUCGGCUCGUAAAGCUCUGUUGUUAAAGAAGAACGUGGGUAAGAGUAACUGUUUACCCAGUGACGGUAUUUAACCAGAAAGCCACGGCUAACUACGUGCCAGCA
This 497-nucleotide ribosomal RNA is filed under the name Pediococcus pentosaceus. Its description in RNAcentral is "bacterial SSU rRNA". It matches the Rfam family "Bacterial small subunit ribosomal RNA", at positions 61 to 513 of the family's 1533-position model. Lineage: Bacteria; Bacillati; Bacillota; Bacilli; Lactobacillales; Lactobacillaceae. The record is from RNAcentral.